GAUGAAGAACGCAGCGAAAUGCGAUACGUAGUGUGAAUUGCAGAAUUCAGUGAAUCAUCGAAUCUUUGAACGCACAUUGCACCUCUCGGUAUUCCGGGAGGUAUGCCUGUUCGAGCGUCAUUUGUACCCUCAAGCUCUGCUUGGUGUUGGGUGGUUGUUCCGCCUCUGUGUGUGAACUCGCCUCAAAACAAUUGGCAGCCGGCGUACUUGUUUCGGAGCGCAGCACAUUUUGCGAUCCAGAUCAACGUACAGCGGCAUCCAAGAAGCCUUAUUUAACGCUCUUGACCUCGGAUCAGGUAGGGAUACCCGCUGAACUUAAGCAUAUCAAUAAGCGGAGGA
RNAcentral lists this unclassified non-coding RNA (339 nucleotides) under soil metagenome. RNAcentral's name for it is "partial contains 5.8S ribosomal RNA, internal transcribed spacer 2, and large subunit ribosomal RNA". The stretch from base 1 to 120 matches the Rfam family "5.8S ribosomal RNA", at positions 35 to 154 of the family's 154-position model. The record is from RNAcentral.